Molecule: ribosomal RNA, 301 nt
Filed under: uncultured bacterium
Lineage: Bacteria
Description: partial 16S ribosomal RNA
Rfam family: Bacterial small subunit ribosomal RNA
Source: RNAcentral
CAGUAGCCGCGGGAAUACGUAGGUGGCAAGCGUUGUCCGGAUUCAUUGGGCGUAAAGGGUGCGUAGGCGGUUCCGUAAGUCGGAUGUGAAAUCUUGGGGCUCAACCUCAAAACUGCACUCGAUACUGCGGGGCUAGAGGACUGGAGAGGAGAGUGGAAUUCACGGUGUAGCAGUGAAAUGCGUAGAUAUCGUGAGGAAGACCAGCGGCGAAGGCGGCUCUCUGGACAGUUCCUGACGCUGAUGCACGAAGGCCAGGGGAGCAAACGGGAUUAGAUACCCCCGUAGUCCCUGUCUCUUAUAC